This 84-nucleotide small nucleolar RNA is filed under the name Moelleriella libera RCEF 2490. Lineage: Eukaryota; Fungi; Ascomycota; Sordariomycetes; Hypocreales; Clavicipitaceae. The record is from RNAcentral.
UUCACAUGAUGAGAAUUUUUUAUCCAGUUCUGCUACUGAACAAUAAUGAUGACCUUUAACAUACCAAACCUUAAUCUCUGAUAU